UCUGGGUUAGAACACUACAGCGUCUUAGCCCCUCUACUUUCCUCUAUUUUCUCUCAACAAUGCACAGCAAACGAAAGAUCGCGAAAAUUCUUUUACUGUAGUGCCACAUUCUCUCGCUGUUUCGCUCGCUUGGAGAAAAGUGGAAGGGAGGUUAACAAACGCUAGGAGCUACGGUUGGAGGAAAUAGGAGCAUGCGACAUCCUGCUGUGUUGCUUAGAAGUCCCGGAAUCGAAAUUCCAUCACAGCAGGGAGUCAGGGAGAGAUUAUGGAGACAUCAGAAUAAGAUUGCAUAAAAUAAUUAUUUUUAAAGAAGCUCAAAAUUAAGGCUCGGCAGAAAAGAGAUUAAUUUUGAAUAAAGACUCUCUAAAGAGAUGUCAACAAUUUGAAGUCAUCAGAAGUCUCCAAUUUGAACGCUAUCAAUGUUCAUUCUAUCUUUGUUUUACGUUUAAUGAAUGAUUAUUAUGAGCAUUUAUAGCAUAAGCCAUGAGCGUCCAAAUUAAACGCAGCUGAAAUUUAUAUGACUAAAUUAAAUAAAACUAAAGUUCUGU
This is a long non-coding RNA of Acromyrmex echinatior (Panamanian leafcutter ant), 548 nucleotides long. The record is from RefSeq and is a predicted model, not a curated record. NCBI's taxonomy places the organism in Eukaryota, Metazoa, Arthropoda, Insecta, Hymenoptera, Formicidae.